CCCUUAGAUGUCCUGGGCCGCACGCGCGCUACACUGACGGAGCCAGCGAGCGUGUCCUUCGCCGAAAGGUGCGGGUAAUCUUGGCAGCCUCCGUCGUGCUGGGGAUAGAUGGUUGCAAUUAUUGAUCUUGAACGAGGAAUUCCUAGUAAGCGCGAGUCACCAGCUCGCGUUGAUUACGUCCCUGCCCUUUGUACACACCGCCCGUCGCUACUACCGAUUGAAUGCUCAGGUGAGCCAUUCGGACUUUCAUCAUGCUGGUUUCCAGUUUUGAUGAAGGAAAGUCUUGCGAACCUUAUCAUUUAGAGGAAGGAGAAGUCGUAACA
Molecule: ribosomal RNA, 323 nt
Filed under: uncultured eukaryote
Lineage: Eukaryota
Description: partial 18S ribosomal RNA
Rfam family: Eukaryotic small subunit ribosomal RNA
Source: RNAcentral